UACAUAGAUAUAGAUCAAUAACUCCGAUCUUGAAUUGAAGGAUCCAAUCAUUCUUUUUUAGGACGUUGUUCGAUUUUGACCGUUCAUUUUAUGCCCACUUGAUGGACUUUAUUAUGAUUUCGAAAAUUUACGAAAUUUAUUUUCUAGUAGUUUCAAAUACUCUAGAUCAUAUUUAACGGAGUGGAUCGUCGUUUCAGAAGUUCCAUCAUUGAAAAUAACUUAUGAGUACGAGGGCUCCAAUACUCAUAAUAGUAUAGCAGCC
RNAcentral lists this long non-coding RNA (262 nucleotides) under Ananas comosus (pineapple). Its description in RNAcentral is "long non-coding RNA (ACOM_LNC023501)". Lineage: Eukaryota; Viridiplantae; Streptophyta; Magnoliopsida; Poales; Bromeliaceae. The record is from RNAcentral.